Desarmillaria tabescens is the source of this 92-nucleotide non-coding RNA. The record is from the annotation of a RefSeq genome assembly. NCBI's taxonomy places the organism in Eukaryota, Fungi, Basidiomycota, Agaricomycetes, Agaricales, Physalacriaceae.
GGCCGUGUAGCGUAAUGGUUAACGCGCUAGUUUCCGGUAUUGUGGACAUACAUCCAAGCUAGAGAUUCCGAGUUCGAGUCUCGGCAUGGUCG